AGUGAACGCUGGCGGUAGGCCUAACACAUGCAAGUCGAACGGCAGCACAGUAAGAGCUUGCUCUUACGGGUGGCGAGUGGCGGACGGGUGAGGAAUACAUCGGAAUCUACUUUUUCGUGGGGGAUAACGUAGGGAAACUUACGCUAAUACCGCAUACGACCUACGGGUGAAAGCAGGGGAUCUUCGGACCUUGCGCGAUUGAAUGAGCCGAUGUCGGAUUAGCUAGUUGGCGGGGUAAAGGCCCACCAAGGCGACGAUCCGUAGCUGGUCUGAGAGGAUGAGCAGCGACACUGGAACUGAGACACCGUCCAGGCUCCUACGGGAGGCAGCAGUGGGGAAUAUUGGACAAUGGUCGCAAGCCUGAUCCAGCCGUACCGCGUGGGUGAAGAAGACCUUCGGUUUGUAAAGCCCUUUUGUUGGGAAAGAAAAGCAGCAGGUUAAUACCCCGCUGUUCUGACGGUACCCAAUGAAUAAGCACCGGCUAACUUCGUG
RNAcentral lists this ribosomal RNA (492 nucleotides) under uncultured bacterium. RNAcentral describes it as "partial 16S ribosomal RNA". It matches the Rfam family "Bacterial small subunit ribosomal RNA", at positions 29 to 507 of the family's 1533-position model. The record is from RNAcentral.